Molecule: long non-coding RNA, 1715 nt
Organism: Pocillopora damicornis (cauliflower coral)
Lineage: Eukaryota; Metazoa; Cnidaria; Anthozoa; Scleractinia; Pocilloporidae
Source: RefSeq, a predicted model, not a curated record
AAGACCUGAAAGCGAUCCCAGCCUAGACCCAGACAAGAACAUUUGCGGUGGUCUGAGAGCUUCUGUUUUUUAAAAAAACCAGAACGAACGCCUAUGAUUUAUUUUCCAUGUAACACAUCACCAAAAGUGCUGUGGAACACACGAAAGAGUUUUUGAAGGUGCUCUCUGAUUUAAGAUGACCAUGUUAGCAAAGAUAACACUAUAUACAGUGAUUUUGGUUCACCUAGUUUUAAUCUGUCGUGGUGGGGAUCAGUCCGACUUCGAGCACGUAGUCACCGAGGAAUACUGGAACGAAGUUGAAGAACAAGACAAUCAAGGCAACGAAGAAACAAUCUGUUGGUUCAACGAUAGAAUCCUAAGAGUUGGCGAAAAACUGAGCAACAAUUGUGUUUGCAGGAAGUCUGGUUAUAUUGUGUGCCCGUAGCGUUUAAAGCAACGGCUGGCGUUCAGUCAGGAUAAACCUUCGAAAAAUGAAACGAGGAAGAAAUAAACUCUAUUGUAGUUAGCUUUAAAGACGCGAAUUACUUAAAACAUGGAAGACGAUGGUGCGACUAGAAAUUCAGCCUGACUUGACGAGUUUUCUUUCAAACUGACAUUUGAAGGCUACCUAAUUUCAUUUUUGGAAGUAAUAAACACUAUUAAAAAAAAAAACAACAACAACAACAACAUUGUCGCUUGGCAGGAGCUUAGACGAAUCACAAGAUUCUUUCUGCAUGCCGUGAUUUUUUUCGUAAAUCUAAACUUUUUUUAUACUGUGGCGAAUAAAGGAAUCGUAUAUUAUAUUCCGGAGUCGUAUUUUGUAUAUUUAUUUUGAUAAUUUAAAACCACUGUUUAUCUGAUUUAUCGAUUUAAUUGUUAAUUUUGCCUUCGGUCGUUUCAUCUUUGGUCUCAGAUUUACAUUUUCUAAUAUCAAAACUUUAAAAUAUUUCCUUAGUUAUGAGAGAUACCGCUGAAUAGGCUUUACCGAGUUGUCACCCACUGGAUAUGAUACAUUUAGCUAAAGUUAUAGUUGGCGAGUUUCGAUCUGCUGAAUUUCUCAGUCUGCUUGAUAUUCUACUAGUUUUUGUAAGUCAUUUUGUGUCGUAGCGACUUCUCAUCAAAAUUUACAAAUCUUUUGACUCAAGCGAUCUUUUUUUUAUUUUCUUUAUUACAAAAAAUCUUGAAGACAAUUUUUGUUUAGUUUUUUUUGUCACUUCAGGCCACCAACAGGGUAGUGCAGGAGGCUUUGGUCCUCUGACGUCAUUGACUAUGGAGUAUACACACGAGCGACUCUUUUUCUUUUGUGAUCUAACCAAAUCAUUCCCACAAUGCAAAUCACAGCCAGUACAAGUAAAGGAAGGACUGCUGGUAUGGUGGCAUCUGAAAUAAACCAAAGGAUUUUUAAUAAAAGGAAUUUUCUUACGCAUUGUUAAAUCUGGGUGAAUAAGUUUACCGAGUAAAAACCAUGCACCUUCAAAAUUGUUAGCAAAAAGGAAAAUAAAUGAUGUCAAUAUUAGUAAAGGCAAUCAUAAAAGUAAAGAUGAAGAUGAUAAUUAUGAUAGGGAUCACUACUAUUAUCAUUAUAUUUAUUAUCUAAUCAUUUUAUUUGAGUUUUCACCAAGGUCUUGAUUUCAAGAAGGCUAGAGAGAAGUAGUAGUUUAAGAUGAUGAAGAUUAACAUAAAACAAUGUAAAGACCAUUGAAACGUGGAUUAAACAAAAGUUUCCAACGGGAAAA